ACGGAAGGCAGCAGUGGGGAAUAUUGCGCAAUGGAGGCAACUCUGACGCAGCAACGCCGUGUGCAGGAUGACGGCCUUCGGGUUGUAAACUGCUUUCAGUAGGGAAGAAGUAAUUGACGGUACCUACACAAGAAGCUCCGGCUAACUACGUGCCAGCAGCCGCGGUAAUACGUAGGGAGCAAGCAUUAUCCGGAUUCAUUGGGCGUAAAGCGCGCGCAGGCGGAUAUUUAAGCGGAUCUUUUAACCCGAGGGCUCAACCCCCGGUCGGGAUCCGAACUGGAUAUCUUGAGUGCGGUAGGGGCAAGCGGAAUUCCAUGUGUAGCGGUGAAAUGCGCAGAUAUAUGGAAGAACACCGAUGGCGAAGGCAGCUUGCUGGGCCGACACUGACGCUCAGGUGCGAAAGCUAGGGGAGCAAACAGGAUUAGAUACCCUGGUA
RNAcentral lists this ribosomal RNA (436 nucleotides) under uncultured Paraeggerthella sp. Its description in RNAcentral is "partial 16S ribosomal RNA". It matches the Rfam family "Bacterial small subunit ribosomal RNA", at positions 341 to 792 of the family's 1533-position model. The record is from RNAcentral. Lineage: Bacteria; Bacillati; Actinomycetota; Coriobacteriia; Eggerthellales; Eggerthellaceae.